CUCAAUAAGCGGAGGAAAAGAAACUAACAAGGAUUCCCCUAGUAACUGCGAGUGAAGAGGGAAAAGCUCAAAUUUAAAAUCUGGCAGCUUUGGUUGUCCGAGUUGUAAUCUGGAGAAGUGUUUUCAGUGCAGGACCGUGUACAAGUCUCUUGGAAUGGAGCAUCAUAGAGGGUGAGAAUCCCGUCUUUGACAUGGACUACCUGUGCUUUGUGAUACACUCUCAAAGAGUCGAGUUGUUUGGGAAUGCAGCUCAAAAUGGGUGGUAAAUUCCAUCUAAAGCUAAAUAUUGGCGAGAGACCGAUAGCGAACAAGUACCGUGAGGGAAAGAUGAAAAGCACUUUGGAAAGAGAGUUAAACAGUACGUGAAAUUGUUGAAAGGGAAACGCUUGAAGUCAGUCGCGUUUGUUAGAACUCAGCUUGGCUUUUGCUUAGUGUACUUUCUAAUGAACGGGCCAACAUCGAUUUCAGUCAGUGGAUAAGGGUAAGGGGAAUGUGGCACCCUCGGGUGUGUUAUAGCCUCUUAUCGUAUACAUUUACUGGGAUCGAGGUCUGCAGCACUUGUGCUUAGGAUGUUGGCAUAAUGGCUUUAAUCGACCCGUCUUGAAACACGGACCAAGGAGUCUAACAUGCCCGCGAGUGUUAGGGUGGUAAACCCUUGCGCGUAAUGAAAGUGAAAGUUGGGACCUCUGUCAUGGGGGGCACCGACGCCCGGUCCUGAACUUCUGUGACGGUACUGCGGUAGAGCGUGUAUGUUGGGACCCGAAAGAUGGUGAACUAUGCCUGAAUAGGGUGAAGCCAGAGGAAACUCUGGUGGAGGCUCGUAGCGAUUCUGACGUGCAAAUCGAUCGUCAAAUUUGGGUAUAGGGGCGAAAGACUAAUCGAACCAUCUAGUAGCUGGUUCCUGC
Molecule: ribosomal RNA, 905 nt
Filed under: Resinicium friabile
Lineage: Eukaryota; Fungi; Basidiomycota; Agaricomycetes; Hymenochaetales
Description: LSU rRNA
Rfam family: Eukaryotic large subunit ribosomal RNA
Source: RNAcentral